Molecule: ribosomal RNA, 2516 nt
Filed under: Escherichia coli
Lineage: Bacteria; Pseudomonadati; Pseudomonadota; Gammaproteobacteria; Enterobacterales; Enterobacteriaceae
Description: partial 23S ribosomal RNA
Rfam family: Bacterial large subunit ribosomal RNA
Source: RNAcentral
GGGACACGUGGUAUCCUGUCUGAAUAUGGGGGGACCAUCCUCCAAGGCUAAAUACUCCUGACUGACCGAUAGUGAACCAGUACCGUGAGGGAAAGGCGAAAAGAACCCCGGCGAGGGGAGUGAAAAAGAACCUGAAACCGUGUACGUACAAGCAGUGGGAGCACGCUUCGGCGUGUGACUGCGUACCUUUUGUAUAAUGGGUCAGCGACUUAUAUUCUGUAGCAAGGUUAACCGAAUAGGGGAGCCGAAGGGAAACCGAGUCUUAACUGGGCGUUAAGUUGCAGGGUAUAGACCCGAAACCCGGUGAUCUAGCCAUGGGCAGGUUGAAGGUUGGGUAACACUAACUGGAGGACCGAACCGACUAAUGUUGAAAAAUUAGCGGAUGACUUGUGGCUGGGGGUGAAAGGCCAAUCAAACCGGGAGAUAGCUGGUUCUCCCCGAAAGCUAUUUAGGUAGCGCCUCGUGAAUUCAUCUCCGGGGGUAGAGCACUGUUUCGGCAAGGGGGUCAUCCCGACUUACCAACCCGAUGCAAACUGCGAAUACCGGAGAAUGUUAUCACGGGAGACACACGGCGGGUGCUAACGUCCGUCGUGAAGAGGGAAACAACCCAGACCGCCAGCUAAGGUCCCAAAGUCAUGGUUAAGUGGGAAACGAUGUGGGAAGGCCCAGACAGCCAGGAUGUUGGCUUAGAAGCAGCCAUCAUUUAAAGAAAGCGUAAUAGCUCACUGGUCGAGUCGGCCUGCGCGGAAGAUGUAACGGGGCUAAACCAUGCACCGAAGCUGCGGCAGCGACGCUGAUGCGUUGUUGGGUAGGGGAGCGUUCUGUAAGCCUGCGAAGGUGUGCUGUGAGGCAUGCUGGAGGUAUCAGAAGUGCGAAUGCUGACAUAAGUAACGAUAAAGCGGGUGAAAAGCCCGCUCGCCGGAAGACCAAGGGUUCCUGUCCAACGUUAAUCGGGGCAGGGUGAGUCGACCCCUAAGGCGAGGCCGAAAGGCGUAGUCGAUGGGAAACAGGUUAAUAUUCCUGUACUUGGUGUUACUGCGAAGGGGGGACGGAGAAGGCUAUGUUGGCCGGGCGACGGUUGUCCCGGUUUAAGCGUGUAGGCUGGUUUUCCAGGCAAAUCCGGAAAAUCAAGGCUGAGGCGUGAUGACGAGGCACUACGGUGCUGAAGCAACAAAUGCCCUGCUUCCAGGAAAAGCCUCUAAGCAUCAGGUAACAUCAAAUCGUACCCCAAACCGACACAGGUGGUCAGGUAGAGAAUACCAAGGCGCUUGAGAGAACUCGGGUGAAGGAACUAGGCAAAAUGGUGCCGUAACUUCGGGAGAAGGCACGCUGAUAUGUAGGUGAGGUCCCUCGCGGAUGGAGCUGAAAUCAGUCGAAGAUACCAGCUGGCUGCAACUGUUUAUUAAAAACACAGCACUGUGCAAACACGAAAGUGGACGUAUACGGUGUGACGCCUGCCCGGUGCCGGAAGGUUAAUUGAUGGGGUCAGCGCAAGCGAAGCUCUUGAUCGAAGCCCCGGUAAACGGCGGCCGUAACUAUAACGGUCCUAAGGUAGCGAAAUUCCUUGUCGGGUAAGUUCCGACCUGCACGAAUGGCGUAAUGAUGGCCAGGCUGUCUCCACCCGAGACUCAGUGAAAUUGAACUCGCUGUGAAGAUGCAGUGUACCCGCGGCAAGACGGAAAGACCCCGUGAACCUUUACUAUAGCUUGACACUGAACAUUGAGCCUUGAUGUGUAGGAUAGGUGGGAGGCUUUGAAGUGUGGACGCCAGUCUGCAUGGAGCCGACCUUGAAAUACCACCCUUUAAUGUUUGAUGUUCUAACGUUGACCCGUAAUCCGGGUUGCGGACAGUGUCUGGUGGGUAGUUUGACUGGGGCGGUCUCCUCCUAAAGAGUAACGGAGGAGCACGAAGGUUGGCUAAUCCUGGUCGGACAUCAGGAGGUUAGUGCAAUGGCAUAAGCCAGCUUGACUGCGAGCGUGACGGCGCGAGCAGGUGCGAAAGCAGGUCAUAGUGAUCCGGUGGUUCUGAAUGGAAGGGCCAUCGCUCAACGGAUAAAAGGUACUCCGGGGAUAACAGGCUGAUACCGCCCAAGAGUUCAUAUCGACGGCGGUGUUUGGCACCUCGAUGUCGGCUCAUCACAUCCUGGGGCUGAAGUAGGUCCCAAGGGUAUGGCUGUUCGCCAUUUAAAGUGGUACGCGAGCUGGGUUUAGAACGUCGUGAGACAGUUCGGUCCCUAUCUGCCGUGGGCGCUGGAGAACUGAGGGGGGCUGCUCCUAGUACGAGAGGACCGGAGUGGACGCAUCACUGGUGUUCGGGUUGUCAUGCCAAUGGCACUGCCCGGUAGCUAAAUGCGGAAGAGAUAAGUGCUGAAAGCAUCUAAGCACGAAACUUGCCCCGAGAUGAGUUCUCCCUGACCCUUUAAGGGUCCUGAAGGAACGUUGAAGACGACGACGUUGAUAGGCCGGGUGUGUAAGCGCAGCGAUGCGUUGAGCUAACCGGUACUAAUGAACCGUGAG